GACGAACGCUGGCGGCGUGCUUAACACAUGCAAGUCGAGCGAUGAAGCUCCUUCGGGAGUGGAUUAGCGGCGGACGGGUGAGUAACACGUGGGUAACCUGCCUCAUAGAGGGGAAUAGCCUUUCGAAAGGAAGAUUAAUACCGCAUAAGAUUGUAGUACCGCAUGGUACAGCAAUUAAAGGAGUAAUCCGCUAUGAGAUGGACCCGCGUCGCAUUAGCUAGUUGGUGAGGUAACGGCUCACCAAGGCGACGAUGCGUAGCCGACCUGAGAGGGUGAUCGGCCACAUUGGGACUGAGACACGGCCCAGACUCCUACGGGAGGCAGCAGUGGGGAAUAUUGCACAAUGGGGGAAACCCUGAUGCAGCAACGCCGCGUGAGUGAUGACGGUCUUCGGAUUGUAAAGCUCUGUCUUUAGGGACGAUAAUGACGGUACCUAAGGAGGAAGCCACGGCUAACUACGUG
Molecule: ribosomal RNA, 462 nt
Filed under: uncultured bacterium
Lineage: Bacteria
Description: bacterial SSU rRNA
Rfam family: Bacterial small subunit ribosomal RNA
Source: RNAcentral